This 2277-nucleotide ribosomal RNA is filed under the name Salmonella enterica subsp. enterica serovar Bareilly str. CFSAN000215. Its description in RNAcentral is "bacterial LSU rRNA". It matches the Rfam family "Bacterial large subunit ribosomal RNA", at positions 561 to 2823 of the family's 2925-position model. Lineage: Bacteria; Pseudomonadati; Pseudomonadota; Gammaproteobacteria; Enterobacterales; Enterobacteriaceae. The record is from RNAcentral.
UACGUACAAGCAGUGGGAGCACCCUUUUGGGUGUGACUGCGUACCUUUUGUAUAAUGGGUCAGCGACUUAUAUUCUGUAGCAAGGUUAACCGUAUAGGGGAGCCGGAGGGAAACCGAGUCUUAACCGGGCGUUAAGUUGCAGGGUAUAGACCCGAAACCCGGUGAUCUAGCCAUGGGCAGGUUGAAGGUUGGGUAACACUAACUGGAGGACCGAACCGACUAAUGUUGAAAAAUUAGCGGAUGACCUGUGGCUGGGGGUGAAAGGCCAAUCAAACCGGGAGAUAGCUGGUUCUCCCCGAAAGCUAUUUAGGUAGCGCCUCGUGAAUUCAUCUCCGGGGGUAGAGCACUGUUUCGGCUAGGGGGCCAUCCCGGCUUACCAACCCGAUGCAAACUGCGAAUACCGGAGAAUGUUAUCACGGGAGACACACGGCGGGUGCUAACGUCCGUCGUGAAGAGGGAAACAACCCAGACCGCCAGCUAAGGUCCCAAAGUCAUGGUUAAGUGGGAAACGAUGUGGGAAGGCCCAGACAGCCAGGAUGUUGGCUUAGAAGCAGCCAUCAUUUAAAGAAAGCGUAAUAGCUCACUGGUCGAGUCGGCCUGCGCGGAAGAUGUAACGGGGCUAAACCAUGCACCGAAGCUGCGGCAGCGACGUUUAUGCGUUGUUGGGUAGGGGAGCGUUCUGUAAGCCUGCGAAGGUGGCCUGUGAGGGUUGCUGGAGGUAUCAGAAGUGCGAAUGCUGACAUAAGUAACGAUAAAGCGGGUGAAAAGCCCGCUCGCCGGAAGACCAAGGGUUCCUGUCCAACGUUAAUCGGGGCAGGGUGAGUCGACCCCUAAGGCGAGGCCGAAAGGCGUAGUCGAUGGGAAACGGGUUAAUAUUCCCGUACUUGGUGUUACUGCGAAGGGGGGACGGAGAAGGCUAUGUUGGCCGGGCGACGGUUGUCCCGGUUUAAGCGUGUAGGCUGGUUUUCCAGGCAAAUCCGGAAAAUCAAGGCUGAGGCGUGACGACGAGGCACUACGGUGCUGAAGCAACAAAUGCCCUGCUUCCAGGAAAAGCCUCUAAGCAUCAGGUAACAUCAAAUCGUACCCCAAACCGACACAGGUGGUCAGGUAGAGAAUACCAAGGCGCUUGAGAGAACUCGGGUGAAGGAACUAGGCAAAAUGGUGCCGUAACUUCGGGAGAAGGCACGCUGACACGUAGGUGAAGUGAUUUACUCACGGAGCUGAAGUCAGUCGAAGAUACCAGCUGGCUGCAACUGUUUAUUAAAAACACAGCACUGUGCAAACACGAAAGUGGACGUAUACGGUGUGACGCCUGCCCGGUGCCGGAAGGUUAAUUGAUGGGGUCAGCGCAAGCGAAGCUCCUGAUCGAAGCCCCGGUAAACGGCGGCCGUAACUAUAACGGUCCUAAGGUAGCGAAAUUCCUUGUCGGGUAAGUUCCGACCUGCACGAAUGGCGUAAUGAUGGCCAGGCUGUCUCCACCCGAGACUCAGUGAAAUUGAACUCGCUGUGAAGAUGCAGUGUACCCGCGGCAAGACGGAAAGACCCCGUGAACCUUUACUAUAGCUUGACACUGAACAUUGAGCCUUGAUGUGUAGGAUAGGUGGGAGGCUUUGAAGCGUGGACGCCAGUCUGCGUGGAGCCGACCUUGAAAUACCACCCUUUAAUGUUUGAUGUUCUAACGUGGACCCGUAAUCCGGGUUGCGGACAGUGUCUGGUGGGUAGUUUGACUGGGGCGGUCUCCUCCUAAAGAGUAACGGAGGAGCACGAAGGUUGGCUAAUCCUGGUCGGACAUCAGGAGGUUAGUGCAAUGGCAUAAGCCAGCUUGACUGCGAGCGUGACGGCGCGAGCAGGUGCGAAAGCAGGUCAUAGUGAUCCGGUGGUUCUGAAUGGAAGGGCCAUCGCUCAACGGAUAAAAGGUACUCCGGGGAUAACAGGCUGAUACCGCCCAAGAGUUCAUAUCGACGGCGGUGUUUGGCACCUCGAUGUCGGCUCAUCACAUCCUGGGGCUGAAGUAGGUCCCAAGGGUAUGGCUGUUCGCCAUUUAAAGUGGUACGCGAGCUGGGUUUAGAACGUCGUGAGACAGUUCGGUCCCUAUCUGCCGUGGGCGCUGGAGAACUGAGGGGGGCUGCUCCUAGUACGAGAGGACCGGAGUGGACGCAUCACUGGUGUUCGGGUUGUCAUGCCAAUGGCACUGCCCGGUAGCUAAAUGCGGAAGAGAUAAGUGCUGAAAGCAUCUAAGCACGAAACUUGCCCCGAGAUGAGUUCUCCCUGAGACUU